GGACGGGUGAGUAACACGUGGGUAACCUGCCUGUAAGACUGGGAUAACUCCGGGAAACCGGAGCUAAUACCGGAUAGUUCCUUGAACCGCAUGGUUCAAGGAUGAAAGACGGUUUCGGCUGUCACUUACAGAUGGACCCGCGGCGCAUUAGCUAGUUGGUGGGGUAAUGGCUCACCAAGGCGACGAUGCGUAGCCGACCUGAGAGGGUGAUCGGCCACACUGGGACUGAGACACGGCCCAGACUCCUACGGGAGGCAGCAGUAGGGAAUCUUCCGCAAUGGACGAAAGUCUGACGGAGCAACGCCGCGUGAGUGAUGAAGGUUUUCGGAUCGUAAAGCUCUGUUGUUAGGGAAGAACAAGUGCGAGAGUAACUGCUCGCACCUUGACGGUACCUAACCAGAAAGCCACGGCUAACUACGUGCCAGCAGCCGCGGUAAUACGUAGGUGGCAAGCGUUGUCCGGAAUUAUUGGGCGUAAAGGGCUCGCAGGCGGUUUCUUAAGUCUGAUGUGAAAGCCCCGGCUCAACCGGGGAGGGUCAUUGGAAACUGGGAAACUUGAGUGCAGAAGAGGAGAGUGGAAUUCCACGUGUAGCGGUGAAAUGCGUAGAGAUGUGGAGGAACACCAGUGGCGAAGGCGACUCUCUGGUCUGUACUGACGCUGAGGAGCGAAAGCGUGGGGAGCGAACAGGAUUAGAUACCCUGGUAGUCCACGCCGUAAACGAUGAGUGCUAAGUGUUAGGGGGUUUCCGCCCCUUAGUGCUGCAGCUAACGCAUUAAGCACUCCGCCUGGGGAGUACGGUCGCAAGACUGAAACUCAAAGGAAUUGACGGGGGCCCGCA
This 838-nucleotide ribosomal RNA is filed under the name Bacillus sp. NTY29. RNAcentral describes it as "bacterial SSU rRNA". It matches the Rfam family "Bacterial small subunit ribosomal RNA", at positions 100 to 925 of the family's 1533-position model. Lineage: Bacteria; Bacillati; Bacillota; Bacilli; Caryophanales; Bacillaceae. The record is from RNAcentral.